UACGUAGGGUGCGAGCGUUGUCCGGAAUUAUUGGGCGUAAAGAGCUCGUAGGCGGUCCGUCACGUCGGGUGUGAAAAUCCAGGGCUCAACCCUGGACCUGCACCCGAUACGGGCGGACUAGAGUUCGGUAGGGGAGACUGGAAUUCCUGGUGUAGCGGUGAAAUGCGCAGAUAUCAGGAGGAACACCGGUGGCGAAGGCGGGGCUCUGGGCCGAUACUGACGCUGAGGAGCGAAAGCGUGGGGAGCGAACAGG
This 253-nucleotide ribosomal RNA is filed under the name uncultured bacterium. RNAcentral's name for it is "partial 16S ribosomal RNA". It matches the Rfam family "Bacterial small subunit ribosomal RNA", at positions 524 to 776 of the family's 1533-position model. The record is from RNAcentral.